AUCGCUUUCUUUCUUGCUUCCCGUGUUUUCUUAAUUUUUGAUGUCAACAUUGAAUUUGACGUGCUUCGGUAUUGUUAAUUAAUUGGGGGAAAGGUAGGACACUUGAAGCAGCAUUGGGCACAUAUCUUAUUUUCCUUUGUGAUGAGCAGAAAACAUCAGCUAUGACUUUAUACAAGAACUUGUCUCGUCUUUUGACAUUUUUCUUUUCCUUGGCAUGGGAGUCUCGGUUAAAAUUGCCAGUUUUGUUAUCUGUCUGCUUUAUGGUGCUUGAUGUUCGAAUGCAUUUGGAAAUUAAUGUAAAUAUCGGACCCUAGAGUCUUAAUCAUAGGUGCUACAGGAUGGUUAGGACACAGAAGUGCCACAGCAUAUUAUUUUUUGUAUUACUGGAUGUUUAUGUUUUAUGAAGAAUGCUAAGUGAAUGCCACAGAAGAAAUCUCUUAGUGGACGCUAAAGUGCUAGAAAUGGGCAUGAUGAAAAAGUAAAACUGAAGUACAAGAUCAUAAAUGCAAAUGUUGACUAUGAUGCAAUAACCUGUUAUUAUCUCAACUUCUCCGCAUCUGCUGAAAAAGAAAGGAAAAACAAUAGAAAAACCCUUUUCUUUAAAUCUUUUAGAUAAUAAGACAUAUUACAGCAAACUUUGUAUUAUCUGCUGUGUUUUAACUCAAUUUAGAUAAACACACCCAUUUUAACUUUAAAAGUGAAAAACUUUAUUUCUAGAUAUUACUAUUUCUUUCUUCAUUUUCCCUUCAAGUGAUGUCAAACAUUACAAGGUCACCAAAAUCCGACUAGUUGAAACCUGUUUUUUAGAUCCAUACUAUACUUAAGUCCAAAACGAAUGACCAGUUUUGAUUGAACAAAACCUCUCCCCCAUUUCGGAAAUCAAACUUGAUAUGUUUGUAUGAUUUGCUGAAUAUGUGUGUAAUCGGUUGCAAUAAUGAGCAUUCCUUGUCUAGUUAUUACAUACACUUUUUAGCUGUAGUUAAAAUGUAUGCAAGUGUUAUUGAUUUUCUAAAACUGCUGCUUACAGUAGUAUCGUUUUAUUUUUUUUUAUUUUGUGAAUUAUCUGCAAAAUUCGCUUAUUUGCAAUUACCUUGCUUUGCUGCAGAUAAUCGGGGGAUCUUCACAUAAUGUCUCAGUAGUCUAAAGCAUGACUUUAAGUAGACUAUGGGUUUACCAGAUAAAGCAUAGCAAACUAUUUUGAACUCUCCCACUCCCCCCAAAAAUAUAAUUUUUUUUUCUUAAACUAGCAAGAGAAUAAGUAAAUGCAUUAUGUAAACACGGUUCUUAAUGCUUAGUUUCUUAUUGUAGCAUCUUAAACUAAGAUUUUGAAACUUAAUUCUAAUUAUCGUCUUUUGUAAGAUUUAAUAACAUUUGCUGUAUUAUAUUUUUCCAUACAUCCCAAAGAAGUGUGGUUAAACAUGAGGUUACUGUACUAGUUUUAUCUUUCUUUUCUUUAUAAAUGUUGAUUGAUUUUUUUCUUACAUUUUUACUAAGAAUGAUUUUAACAUUCAAUUCUAUUUUUAAAUUAUUAAUGAAUUAUUUUUUAAAGAUUUAGACUGAUAUAAGGGUUGUACUACUAAGAAAUGUAUCGAGCAAGAACUAAAACACAUUGUAGACAGGUCGCAAGAAUCCUUGCCCUUUCUUCAAUUGAUCAUAAGAAUUAUCAAAUUAUGUAAAUCUCAGCCCCAUGCCAUCUCUUGUGUUCUUUGUGAACUUUUUACUGGUUCUAAACAUUUUUAAUCUUGACUAAACAUUCUCUAAACACAUUGUCACAUAGUGUUUUGAUGAAGAUCAUUUAUUAAACUUGGUCUACAAUGUACUAAUAUGCCAGUAACAUCGAACUUUGAAUAAAAGUUAUUUUAUUA
Molecule: long non-coding RNA, 1865 nt
Organism: Uloborus diversus
Lineage: Eukaryota; Metazoa; Arthropoda; Arachnida; Araneae; Uloboridae
Exons: 4
Source: RefSeq, a predicted model, not a curated record